GCCAGCUUCGGUGGAGGCAUCGUUGGGAUACCACCCUGAUCGUAUCGGAGUUCUAACCUGGUACCGUGAUCCGGUACAGGGACCGUGUCAGGUGGGCAGUUUGACUGGGGCGGUCGCCUCCUAAAAUGUAACGGAGGCGCCCAAAGGUUCCCUCAGAAUGGUUGGAAAUCAUUCGCAGCGUGCAAAGGCAUAAGGGAGCUUGACUGCGAGACCUACAAGUCGAGCAGGGACGAAAGUCGGGCUUAGUGAUCCGGUGGUACCGCAUGGAAGGGCCAUCGCUCAACGGAUAAAAGCUACCCUGGGGAUAACAGGCUUAUCUCCCCCAAGAGUCCACAUCGACGGGGAGGUUUGGCACCUCGAUGUCGGCUCAUCGCAUCCUGGGGCUGAAGUAGGUCCCAAGGGUUGGGCUGUUCGCCCAUUAAAGCGGUACGCGAGCUGGGUUCAGAACGUCGUGAGACAGUUCGGUCCCUAUCUGUCGUGGGCGCAGGAAAUUUGAGAGGAGCUGUCCUUAGUACGAGAGGACCGGGAUGGACGCACCGCUGGUGUACCAGUUGUUCCGCCAGGAGCACCGCUGGGUAGCCAAGUGCGGACGGGAUAAGCGCUGAAAGCAUCUAA
RNAcentral lists this ribosomal RNA (615 nucleotides) under Paenibacillus sp. UNC496MF. Its description in RNAcentral is "Bacterial large subunit ribosomal RNA". It matches the Rfam family "Bacterial large subunit ribosomal RNA", at positions 2170 to 2784 of the family's 2925-position model. The record is from Rfam by way of RNAcentral. Lineage: Bacteria; Bacillati; Bacillota; Bacilli; Caryophanales; Paenibacillaceae.